This 1384-nucleotide ribosomal RNA is filed under the name uncultured bacterium. RNAcentral's name for it is "bacterial SSU rRNA". It matches the Rfam family "Bacterial small subunit ribosomal RNA", at positions 18 to 1396 of the family's 1533-position model. The record is from RNAcentral.
CCUGGCUCAGGAUGAACGCUAGCUACAGGCUUAACACAUGCAAGUCGAGGGGCAGCAUUUUAGUUUGCUUGCAAACUGAAGAUGGCGACCGGCGCACGGGUGAGUAACACGUAUCCAACCUGCCGAUAACUCCGGAAUAGCCUUUCGAAAGAAAGAUUAAUACCGGAUAGCAUACGAAUAUCGCAUGAUAUUUUUAUUAAAGAAUUUCGGUUAUCGAUGGGGAUGCGUUCCAUUAGUUUGUUGGCGGGGUAACGGCCCACCAAGACUACGAUGGAUAGGGGUUCUGAGAGGAAGGUCCCCCACAUUGGAACUGAGACACGGUCCAAACUCCUACGGGAGGCAGCAGUGAGGAAUAUUGGUCAAUGGGCGAGAGCCUGAACCAGCCAAGUAGCGUGAAGGAUGAAGGCUCUAUGGGUCGUAAACUUCUUUUAUAUGGGAAUAAAGUUUUCCACGUGUGGAAUUUUGUAUGUACCAUAUGAAUAAGGAUCGGCUAACUCCGUGCCAGCAGCCGCGGUAAUACGGAGGAUCCGAGCGUUAUCCGGAUUUAUUGGGUUUAAAGGGAGCGUAGGUGGAUUGUUAAGUCAGUUGUGAAAGUUUGCGGCUCAACCGUAAAAUUGCAGUUGAAACUGGCAGUCUUGAGUACAGUAGAGGUGGGCGGAAUUCGUGGUGUAGCGGUGAAAUGCUUAGAUAUCACGAAGAACUCCGAUUGCGAAGGCAGCUCACUAGACUGUCACUGACACUGAUGCUCGAAAGUGUGGGUAUCAAACAGGAUUAGAUACCCUGGUAGUCCACACAGUAAACGAUGAAUACUCGCUGUUUGCGAUAUACAGUAAGCGGCCAAGCGAAAGCAUUAAGUAUUCCACCUGGGGAGUACGCCGGCAACGGUGAAACUCAAAGGAAUUGACGGGGGCCCGCACAAGCGGAGGAACAUGUGGUUUAAUUCGAUGAUACGCGAGGAACCUUACCCGGGCUUAAAUUGCAACAGAAUAUAUUGGAAACAGUAUAGCCGUAAGGCUGUUGUGAAGGUGCUGCAUGGUUGUCGUCAGCUCGUGCCGUGAGGUGUCGGCUUAAGUGCCAUAACGAGCGCAACCCUUAUCUUUAGUUACUAACAGGUCAUGCUGAGGACUCUAGAGAGACUGCCGUCGUAAGAUGUGAGGAAGGUGGGGAUGACGUCAAAUCAGCACGGCCCUUACGUCCGGGGCUACACACGUGUUACAAUGGGGGGUACAGAAGGCGGCUACCUGGUGACAGGAUGCUAAUCCCAAAAACCUCUCUCAGUUCGGAUCGAAGUCUGCAACCCGACUUCGUGAAGCUGGAUUCGCUAGUAAUCGCGCAUCAGCCAUGGCGCGGUGAAUACGUUCCCGGGCCUUGUACACACCGCCCG